Molecule: long non-coding RNA, 369 nt
Organism: Polypterus senegalus (gray bichir)
Lineage: Eukaryota; Metazoa; Chordata; Cladistia; Polypteriformes; Polypteridae
Exons: 3
Source: RefSeq, a predicted model, not a curated record
GUGAAAGAUCUAACUUGCUAGACAUGCUGCUGACAUGCACAAGUAAUUUCUGCUACAUGCAUCAACUAAGAGUCAUUUCAAGUAUGUUUCACUGUGGAACAGAGCAUAUCUGGAUAACUGGGGAUAAGUUGGAUAUUGGUGAUGUGAUCCCAGUCUCAGUUAGUCUCAGACUUGAUUCUGCAUCCUAGAGGCUGCUUGCCAAACAGAGAGGACCUGAAUUUAAAGACUGCAGUGAUGGGCAGUUUCCUGUCUUGUAUGUAAAGGGAGAAUGAGGUUUUGCAGAAGUAAACGGUUUCCCUAGAACCUCCGACAAAUAUUGGAUCAUACAUUUUGCAUUUCAAUCAAACUAUUUGUGGUUUAUGAACUGUU